AGUGAACGCUGGCGGCGUGCUUAACACAUGCAAGUCGAGCGGUAAGGCCCUUUCGGGGGUACACGAGCGGCGAACGGGUGAGUAACACGUGGGUGACCUGCCCUCAGCUCUGGGAUAAGCCUGGGAAACCGGGUCUAAUACUGGAUAUGACUCCAUGACGCAUGUUGUGGGGUGGAAAGCCUUGUGCGGCUGAGGAUGGGCCCGCGGCCUAUCAGCUUGUUGGUGGGGUGAUGGCCUACCAAGGCGA
RNAcentral lists this ribosomal RNA (247 nucleotides) under uncultured Actinomycetes bacterium. RNAcentral's name for it is "uncultured actinobacterium partial 16S ribosomal RNA". It matches the Rfam family "Bacterial small subunit ribosomal RNA", at positions 29 to 276 of the family's 1533-position model. Lineage: Bacteria; Bacillati; Actinomycetota; Actinomycetes. The record is from RNAcentral.